UGCGCUUAAGGAGCGGCCGAUGUCUGAUUAGCUAGUUGGUGGGGUAAAGGCCUACCAAGGCGACGAUCAGUAGUUGGUCUGAGAGGACGACCAACCACACUGGGACUGAGACACGGCCCAGACUCCUACGGGAGGCAGCAGUGGGGAAUUUUGGACAAUGGGCGCAAGCCUGAUCCAGCCAUGCCGCGUGAGUGAAGAAGGCCUUCGGGUUGUAAAGCUCUUUCAGUUGGGAAGAAACGAUUGCAACUAAUAAUUGUAAUUAAUGACGGUACCGACGGAAGAA
Molecule: ribosomal RNA, 283 nt
Filed under: uncultured Nitrosomonas sp.
Lineage: Bacteria; Pseudomonadati; Pseudomonadota; Betaproteobacteria; Nitrosomonadales; Nitrosomonadaceae
Description: partial 16S ribosomal RNA
Rfam family: Bacterial small subunit ribosomal RNA
Source: RNAcentral